Molecule: ribosomal RNA, 483 nt
Filed under: uncultured bacterium
Lineage: Bacteria
Description: partial 16S ribosomal RNA
Source: RNAcentral
CACGUAGUUAGCCGGAGCUUUCUUCUCAGGUACAGUCUUUUUUCUUCCCUGAGGACAAUAGUUUACAAUCCGAAAACCUUCUUCCUAUACGCGGCGUCACUGCGUCAGAGUUGCCUCCAUUGCGCAAUAUUCCCGACUGCUGCCUCCCGUAGGAGUCUGGGCCGUAUCUCAGUCCCAAUGUGGCCGUUCAACCUCUCAGUCCGGCUACUGAUCGUCGCCUUGGUAGGCCGUUACCCCACCAACUAGCUAAUCAGCCGCAAGCUCAUCUAUCAGCGAAUUGCUUCUUUCCCACUAUCAUCAUGCGAUGACUAUGGCAUAUGCGGUAUUAGCAGUGAUUUCUCACUGUUAUUCCCCUCUGAUAGGCAGAUUUCUUACGUGUUACUCACCAGUCCGCCACUAACCGCUUACCUUGCAAGCAAGGUAUUAAGUUCGUUCGACUUGCAUGUCUUAUGUGCGCCGCCAGCGUUUAUCCUGAGCCAGGUA